GGAGUUUGUUUUGGCCGUCGUCGUCGCGUCGCCGUCCUAAAAUCGUAAGGUCUCUAUUAGUGAGCUGAAGCAAGAGACGUUCUUGUCAUGACGGACGUCGCCCGAGAAUUGCUAGAACUAAUUUUGGCGGCAUUUUCCACCAUGGCGCUCGUGCAAAGAAGCAAGAAACUUUAAAUACAAACACAGUUUUUAAUUCCGUCUCCC
Non-coding RNA from Paramuricea clavata, 204 nucleotides. NCBI's taxonomy places the organism in Eukaryota, Metazoa, Cnidaria, Anthozoa, Malacalcyonacea, Plexauridae. The record is from the annotation of a GenBank genome assembly.